Zonotrichia albicollis (white-throated sparrow) is the source of this 786-nucleotide long non-coding RNA. RefSeq lists it as uncharacterized. The record is from RefSeq and is a predicted model, not a curated record. NCBI's taxonomy places the organism in Eukaryota, Metazoa, Chordata, Aves, Passeriformes, Passerellidae.
CCAGGAAGUGUUGUGAGAUCCUCUUUCCUGGGAAUGGCUAAAAACCUGCCUGCCCGUGGGAAGUGAUUUGUCAGCCAUGGUGAAGAGCUUCAACCCAUCGGAUUCCGAGUCACGCAUGAUAACUUCACUGCAAGGAAACCACAAAGCAGGAAAAGAAUUGAUUUACAGAGAGAAGGAAACAGACCAGGAGGCAGAGUGGAAAGGACAAGAAGAGGACUAUCCCAUGUGUGUCAAAUUGCAUUCAUCAUAGGUCAUGAUUGAACACCAGCUACCCUCUCUCUGGUCCAAACAGGCUGAUAACCUCCCAUUUACAUAGGAUUCAUUACUCAUUUAAUUCAUUUACUGUGUGAAUAAAUUGAAGACUGAAUCCACUGAGUACAUCUUGGCAGAGCAAUAACAUAAGUGUCAAGGAUGUAGCCUUACUCUGUGAGUGGUCAUACCUCUCUGCGUCAAAGCAAGGGAGUCUUAAUUCUAAUGACAAGCAGAGAACCAGAACUGAAUAUGGAGUAAAUUAGCAGUUGUUUGCCUUUCUUGGGGCAUCUUUGCAAGUUAUCAUCUUCUCUUUUCUGUACAGCUGCUGUAACAAAUACAUCUCUGAUCCUGAAAGAGAAUAAAUUAUGCCAGCUACUCACAACAACAAAGCUCUGGACACUGAAACAAGCUCCCCAGGGAAGUGAUCACAGCACCAAGCCUGCCAGAGUUCAAGAAGUACUGGGACAAUACUCUCAGCAAAUAUAGUCCCAGUAACUUCUCUCCCAUGGUGUUUUGACAGAAGAGAAAAAGAGG